UUCAACUUGCGCAAGUAAUCCAUAUUAGAAAGGUAAGUUAUUAAAAAUAAACAACCUAAUUAGUAGGGGUGGGCAUUUUUCCCGAUAUCCAUAGUGGCACCCGAACCCGAUCCGAAAAAUCCGAACUGAAAUCCGAACCGAAGUAGCAAAAUACCCGAACGGGUAUUGAAUAAGGAGAGAUUGGAUACCCGAACCCGAACGGAUAAUACCAGAACCCGAAUGUAUAUCUGAAGUUAACCGAACAUAUGUAUAAUUAACCUUAUAUUUUUAGUUUACAUCUCUCAUUUUAUAUAAAAUAUUUAUAUUGAUACUACACAUACUUUAAGUUCAUAUGAUAUACAUACAAUUACGAAAAAAAUGAUUUGCUACUCACUUAAAAUGCAUGUCAAGUUUUUUAUUUAACAAAAUUAACAAAAAGUUACAUCCAAAAUUUUUAAAAAAUAACUAAAUUAAUGCCUUUUUAGUUUUAAAAUGUUAUGUCCAAAUCUAUUAACUAUUCAAUCUAUUAAAAAUAAAAAAUUAGUUAACUGAAAAUUAUAUUUUAAAAUAUAAGAAACUUGAGAAAUGAAAAUUUUAAUUUUUUUUUCAAAAUCUAAAUAUCCGAACCAGAUCCGAAAUAACCGAAUCCGAACUAAAAAUACCCGAACUCGACCCGAAGUACAGAAAUACCCGAACGGGUUCUACACCUUUAUACCGAAAUACCCUAAAAUCCGAAAUACCCGACCCGAACCCGAACGGGUAUCCAAGGCUAAACUAAAUCGAUAAUUAUUAUCUCCUAGCUAUAUAUGGGCUUAACGAAAUCGACAAUAAUUUUGGGCUUGUCGACAUAAGUGAUUGAUUAAAAUAAAUAAAAAAGAAAAAUUCAAAAAGAUCAGCCAAUAGAAUUAUAACGUUUUUCCGGAGAAGCUUUAUAUGAAUGCCAC
RNAcentral lists this long non-coding RNA (923 nucleotides) under Brassica napus (rape). RNAcentral describes it as "long non-coding RNA (BNAP_LNC026538)". Lineage: Eukaryota; Viridiplantae; Streptophyta; Magnoliopsida; Brassicales; Brassicaceae. The record is from RNAcentral.